This 253-nucleotide ribosomal RNA is filed under the name uncultured bacterium. Its description in RNAcentral is "partial 16S ribosomal RNA". It matches the Rfam family "Bacterial small subunit ribosomal RNA", at positions 524 to 776 of the family's 1533-position model. The record is from RNAcentral.
UACGUAGGGUGCGAGCGUUAAUCGGAAUUACUGGGCGUAAAGCGUGCGCAGGCGGUUUUUUAAGACAGGUGUGAAAUCCCCGGGCUUAACCUGGGAACUGCAUUUGUGACUGCAAGGCUAGAGUGUGGCAGAGGGGGGUGGAAUUCCACGUGUAGCGGUGAAAUGCGUAGAUAUGUGGAGGAAUACCGAUGGGGAAGGCAGCCCCCUGGGCUAACACUGACGCUGAUGCGCGAAAGCGUGGGGAGCAAACAGG